GACGAACGCUGGCGGCGUGCCUAACACAUGCAAGUCGAACGAGGUCCAAGGGAGCUUGCUCACUGAAGACCUAGUGGCGAGCGGGUGAGUAACACGUGAGAAACCUGCCCUCGAGUGGGGAAUAACCCGGGGAAACCCGGGCUAAUCCCGCAUACGCUCCUCUGGUCGCAUGGCCGGAGGAGGAAAGUUUUUCGCUCACGGAGGGUCUCGCGGCCUAUCAGCUUGAUGGCGGGGUAACGGCCCACCAAGGCUACGACGGGUAGCUGGUGUGAGAGGACGAUCAGCCACACUGGGACUGAGACACGGCCCAGACUCCUACGGGAGGCAGCAGUGGGGAAUCUUGCGCAAUGGGCGAAAGCCUGACGCAGCAACGCCGCGUGCGGGAUGACGGCCUUCGUGGUUGUAAACCGCUUUCAGCAGGGACGAAAAUGACGGUACCUGCAGAAGAAGCUCCGGCUAACUACGUGCCAGCAGCCGCCGUAA
Molecule: ribosomal RNA, 483 nt
Filed under: uncultured bacterium
Lineage: Bacteria
Description: partial 16S ribosomal RNA
Rfam family: Bacterial small subunit ribosomal RNA
Source: RNAcentral